This 279-nucleotide ribosomal RNA is filed under the name uncultured prokaryote. Its description in RNAcentral is "partial 16S ribosomal RNA". It matches the Rfam family "Bacterial small subunit ribosomal RNA", at positions 524 to 801 of the family's 1533-position model. The record is from RNAcentral.
UACGUAGGGGUCGAGCGUUGUCCGGAGUUACUGGGCGUAAAGCGCAUGCAGGCGGCUCAUUACGCAUGGCGUGAAAGCCCCCGGCUCAACCGGGGAGGGUCGUCGUGAACGGGUGAGCUUGAGGGUAUCAGGGGCUGGUGGAAUUCCCGGUGUAGUGGUGAAAUGCGUAGAGAUCGGGAGGAACACCUGUGGCGAAGGCGGCCAGCUGGGAUACACCUGACGCUGAGGCACGAAGGCGUGGGGAGCGAACGGGGAUUAGAUACCCCCGUAGUCCCUGAG